UUCGAUUUCAAUGGUUGAACCAUUAUUCUUCUCCGCCGUCCGGAUGUAGGCUCUAACUCUAGGGUUUUGAUUCAUCUUCUUCCUCAGACCCUGAUUUUAAUCAGUUUCACCUUUCGUCUUCUUAAAGGCCUCCUUGAUUCAAUCAUACACGAUCUACAUUAAUUGUCUGCUUCUCUCUUGCAAGACAGUGGAAAUCUCAGUAUAAAAAGGAAGGACCAAGAAAAACAAAGCAACGACAAUUAACCAAAUUUGGAUAAGCACUGCAAAUGGAUCAAGAAGAAACAGAGGCACUCCAGAACCGCAUGAAACUAUAUGUACCUUUCUUACGGGUUUUGAUUGUUGAGUUCGUCGCGUUGGAGCAUCUCAGAAUCGCAGAUCGUUGUUUGAUUAUAUCUACUGCUGUCAGGCCGCGAGUAUGUGGAGCUUGCAGUGUCAUGACACUUAGCUUCCCACUUUUUCACACUUAGUUUCAAAAAGAAAAAAAAAGAUUGUGUUUAGCGGUUCAAAUGUAGUCUUGACUUCUCGGAUGAGUUGAUAAGGAAGAUGGAGCUUAGAAGCCUCCGUAGUUACUGAGCAUGCUGUUAGUAGAUGGCCAUAUUGUUGGGGAAUUGUCCCGAGUGUAUGCACUGCAUUGAUUUUAUAUAUGUUAGAUUUUUAUAGGAACAUGCUCAUUAGCAUGAAAAUAAUGAGAAGGGGACAAAUAUAAAUUCAAGUGUAAAUUCCGGUAUAAAACAUAUUAUAUUAUCUCCACUGAAGAAAUAAAAUAAUAUCAUAUU
Brassica oleracea var. oleracea is the source of this 776-nucleotide long non-coding RNA. RefSeq lists it as uncharacterized. Lineage: Eukaryota; Viridiplantae; Streptophyta; Magnoliopsida; Brassicales; Brassicaceae. The transcript has 4 exons. The record is from RefSeq and is a predicted model, not a curated record.